UGGCGGAUCGUCUAAUCGGCAGGACAGAGGAUUCUGAUUCCUCCAAUCUAGGUUCGAGUCCUAGUCCGCCAGCCA
RNAcentral lists this transfer RNA (75 nucleotides) under Magnetococcales bacterium. Its description in RNAcentral is "tRNA-Gln". It matches the Rfam family "tRNA". Rfam says of the family: Transfer RNA (tRNA) molecules are approximately 80 nucleotides in length. The record is from RNAcentral. Lineage: Bacteria; Pseudomonadati; Pseudomonadota; Magnetococcia; Magnetococcales.